AGUGCAGAAUAACCCUGCGAAAGCAGAGCUAAUACUGCAUGUGGUUGUCGGAUGGCAUCAUCUGACAACUAAAGUCGCAAGACGCUCUCAGAUGGGCCCGUGGCCUAUUAGCUAGUUGGUGAGGUAACGGCCCACCAAGGCUAUGAUGGGUAGCUGGUCUGAGAGGACGGACAGCCACACUGGGACUGAGACACGGCCCAG
RNAcentral lists this ribosomal RNA (201 nucleotides) under uncultured bacterium. Its description in RNAcentral is "partial 16S ribosomal RNA". It matches the Rfam family "Bacterial small subunit ribosomal RNA", at positions 135 to 334 of the family's 1533-position model. The record is from RNAcentral.